Molecule: long non-coding RNA, 677 nt
Filed under: Sus scrofa (pig)
Lineage: Eukaryota; Metazoa; Chordata; Mammalia; Artiodactyla; Suidae
Description: lncRNA (ENSSSCG00040024639.1)
Source: RNAcentral
AUGGAAUAUGAGUCCAGAUGCUUUAUGGACUUAACAGAUAAUUCUCCCUGGAGUAUUGAAACGGACCCCAGGAGACUAGCCACGGCAUUUUCUUCACUGCAUUCUAAAGACUUUCCUACAUGUCCUCAGGCAUCUGUCACUUCCAGAGACCAUCAGUCAGGCUUUGCCAGCAGAGACGCAGUCCUGGACACAGAAGGUAGCGGGGAGGUCAUUGUGAGGCCAAUUGUCCAAAUAUGGCUGCUCAUUCCUCUGAGUCAGCAAAAUAUAUUAACAACAACAACGAAAAAGAUCUGUGGGAGAGAAAAAUUUCCUGCCACAUAUUCUGGCCCCUUGAUGACCCCAAAGGAGUGUCGUGUGUCCUUUGUGGGGGUCAGGAAGGAUGAGAAAGCAGACCCAGCCCUGGUUCUGCGGCCGUUGGCUCAGCAUCACCGCCAGGGAGCCAUGAAGCCUGUGCUGGGACCUCUGGGGACAGAGCCACACUGGCCUCCCACCUCCCUCCCCCAGAACCAUGGCCAAAACCCCCUCCUGAGGACCAAGACUCCUGCCACCAUCCGGUACCGUCUUGAUCCUUUGGGCCAUAUACACAUACCACACACUACAGUCUGCUGCUCAGUUUUUCUGCCCUAAGUGGACUCACAUUUUCACUUCAAUAAAUUAGUUCAUAGAGAAGUUAACCA